AGCAGCCGCGGUAAUUCCAGCUCCAAUAGCGUAUAUUAAAGUUGCUGCAGUUAAAAAGCUCGUAGUUGAAUUUCGGGAUCGAUAUAUCGGUCGUGCCUCGGUACGUACUGGUAUUUUCGGUUUCUCCCUUCUGACGAACCUUGAUGUCAUUAAUUUGGUGUCUUGGGGAAUCAGGACUGUUACUUUGAAAAAAUUAGAGUGUUUAAAGCAGGCUCACGCUUGAAUACAUUAGCAUGGAAUAAUGAAAUAGGACGUUUGAUUCUAUUUUGUUGGUUUCUAGGAUCGACGUAAUGAUUAAUAGGGAUAGUUGGGGGCAUUAGUAUUCAAUUGUCAGAGGUGAAAUUCUUGGAUUUAUUGAAGACUAAUUACUGCGAAAGCAUUUGCCAAGGAUGUUUUCAUUAAUCAAGAACGAAAGUUAGGGGAUCGAAGACGAUCAGAUACCGUCGUAGUCUUAACCAUAAACUAUGCCGACUAGGGAUCGGAUGAUGUUAAUUUUUAAUGACUCAUUCGGCGCCUUAAC
Molecule: ribosomal RNA, 520 nt
Filed under: uncultured Glomus
Lineage: Eukaryota; Fungi; Glomeromycota; Glomeromycetes; Glomerales; Glomeraceae
Description: SSU rRNA
Rfam family: Eukaryotic small subunit ribosomal RNA
Source: RNAcentral